AUCCCAUGAUGAGGACAGGCAAGGAUGUAUUCUUGUAGCCUCUCCCAAGCUUCAGGGAUUGACUCCAUCCCUGUCUGCUGGAAACACGAUAUUUUCCCCUACAGGGC
Molecule: small nucleolar RNA, 107 nt
Organism: Panicum hallii
Lineage: Eukaryota; Viridiplantae; Streptophyta; Magnoliopsida; Poales; Poaceae
Source: RefSeq, a predicted model, not a curated record